This 165-nucleotide ribosomal RNA is filed under the name uncultured bacterium. RNAcentral describes it as "partial 16S rRNA". It matches the Rfam family "Bacterial small subunit ribosomal RNA", at positions 354 to 511 of the family's 1533-position model. The record is from RNAcentral.
UUAGGGAAUCUUCCACAAUGGACGAAAGUCUGAUGGAGCAACGCCGCGUGAGUGAAGAAGGGUUUCGGCUCGUAAAACUCUGUUGUUAAAGAAGAACAUAUCUGAGAGUAACUGUUCAGGUAUUGACGGUAUUUAACCAGAAAGCCACGGCUAACUACGUGCCAG